UUUUCGGAGAGUUUGAUCCUGGCUCAGGACGAACGCUGGCGGCGUGCUUAACACAUGCAAGUCGAACGGUCCUGGAGGUUGGUUUCCAACUUUGAGGAUAGUGGCGCACGGGUGAGUAACACGUGGGUAACCUGCCCGGGAGUUCGGGAUAACAGUGCGAAAGUACUGCUAAUACCGGAUAUCUUCACGAAGGUGCAUGCUUUUGUGAAGAAAGUUUUUCGCUUUCGGAUGGGCCCGCGUCCCAUUAGCUAGUUGGUGAGGUAACGGCUCACCAAGGCGACGAUGGGUAGCUGGUCUGAGAGGACGAUCAGCCACACUGGAACUGAGACACGGUCCAGACUCCUACGGGA
This 350-nucleotide ribosomal RNA is filed under the name Bacillota bacterium. RNAcentral's name for it is "bacterial SSU rRNA". It matches the Rfam family "Bacterial small subunit ribosomal RNA", at positions 1 to 346 of the family's 1533-position model. The record is from RNAcentral. Lineage: Bacteria; Bacillati; Bacillota.